GGGGGGAGUGCUGGAUCUUGGACUGUGUCCCCCAGCGCUCUGGGCUCUGGGGCCUGCACCGCUGGAAUUGCGCUCCCGGGCCCCGCAGCCCCCU
This is a non-coding RNA of Canis lupus familiaris (dog), 94 nucleotides long. Lineage: Eukaryota; Metazoa; Chordata; Mammalia; Carnivora; Canidae. The record is from Rfam.